UUCCAGAAUGAAGAGGAUGGCUUCACUUGACUCACAAAAGAGAACCAUGAGAGAUUCUAAAACAGAAUGCCAGACAUGUUUCAGGAAGACUAACCUGGUGGGGCAUGGGAGAUAAAUGGGGCAGGAGAAGAGAGACGGAAUGAAGGCAAGAGAACCAGGCCUCCAUUUCUCUUCCUGCACUUUGAAGACUCAAAGAAGGUCUGGUGAAGUAUUGAAGACUCAUGGAAGGUCUGGUGAAGUACAGAACAACAGGAAUAUGGGAGCCUAAAUCAGCUGUAACUCCAGGUAUUCCCCCUCCCCCAACGGAGCUGGUCCAGUUCUGCCACCAAUAAAGAACAAGCCAUGUCUGAAAAA
Long non-coding RNA from Acinonyx jubatus (cheetah), 354 nucleotides. RefSeq lists it as uncharacterized. The transcript is spliced from 2 exons. Lineage: Eukaryota; Metazoa; Chordata; Mammalia; Carnivora; Felidae. The record is from RefSeq and is a predicted model, not a curated record.